Molecule: long non-coding RNA, 4047 nt
Organism: Lineus longissimus
Lineage: Eukaryota; Metazoa; Nemertea; Pilidiophora; Heteronemertea; Lineidae
Exons: 4
Source: RefSeq, a predicted model, not a curated record
UAUCUUGCGUGUCUUGAGUUGAACACAACUUCGUAAUCCAUGUAAUCCGAUUUUGGCCACUGGAAACAGAAAUCGUCGAUUAUCUUGGGUGGGCGAUGUAGCUCCUAAUGAUGGCGCUGUGGUAAAUAUGGACUAGUGAGAUUCGUGUCUGAACACGGCUAGUUCGGAAUGAGGGCUUGUCCGCAUUCCGAAGUGCGGACUACGGAAUACGGUUUAAAUCCGCAUCUAGUGUGAACGCAGCAUAUGACAUGCAACACACCACACAAUGCCACACCACUCAUCAAGGAACCUCAAUGUUGCAGAUAAGCGAGCCCCCGAAAGAUGCAUCCGGAUACCAUCCCUCUCUGUUCUUCUCAAAGCCAUGGCAAGCUGGAACUAUGGAUACAAAGCUGAAGAUUCAGUGUACAGAUGAGAACAAAAUCAAAGUACGGUGACCGUAGCUUCUCGUGCUGUGGCCCUUACCUCUGGAAUGGACUCCCUACAGCGCUAGGAUGACCUAGAACAAUUCAAGCUUGUCCUAAGACACACUUGUUUGAAAAAUGGACAGAGAGGGGCGCUUUGAGCGUGGUAUAACCACGGAAAGGCGCUAUACGGUAAAUAGCAUUUUGAUUUGAUUUGAUUUUAGAUGAAAUAUGCCUGAUGCUGCUAAGUGACACAGGGGUAGUCCCUAAUUGUGAUAAUGACUAUAAGACAACGAAUUGUAUACGUAAUUUAGCUUUUAUGAUCAUAUUUUAUGUAUCAGUUCAGUUGAUUACCGAGAACCUGCUGGCCUGGUGUAUUUAUACGUGAUUUCAUGGGCAAGGACCAUGAGAAGUCACUCUUAGUCUUACGACUAUUUCAAGCAAUCAAGGAAAUGUGCUGUGUCAAAAUAGAUAAAGCGGACUGCCAUACCUCAAGGAAUAAGUGAGCACUGCCCUAGCCCUUUGUGGAACAUGAUGUUCCUGUUAAACUUCAGGUUGGUACAUUUUCUGUCAUGUCUGUUUACUUUCAAAUGAAUUUUGAAUCGGCAUCUAAUGAACACUGUCACGAGCCGGCUGUGACCUUUCAGCAAUAUGAAAGGCGAAAGAAAUGUACGGUACAUGAAACCUAACGUAAACACAGAAUUGAAUUGUUUAUACUUUGCAACCUCCCCCCCCCCCCGCCCCGGCGGUGACAAUGACUAAACUAUAAACCAGUCUUUAUCCUCUGGAUGUAUUUUCACAAUUGCCCUCUUUCGAUUGCAGGAUACCACCAUGCACCUCUUGUGCCAGAUGGAUUGGAGAAAUUUGGUCCACUCCGUCUCUGAGGGGUUUCCCCUAUAAAAGAACCCUCUGCUUUGUGGCACGGCGAAGUAUGAACAAGGCAAAUCAUGGAGACCUAUGCUGUCUAUGAUUUCUGUGCAUAUCCCAUUGCAAUGGAAGUGGGCAUAUCAGUGAAGUUCCGACAAAGGAGAGUUAUGUCCAGCUACUCGAUAUACAGGAGAUGAUCCGGAAACUAUAAGGCAAUCACAUGCGAUAACAUACCACAUCAUUGAAAAGAUCGCUACAUGUAUUGUCCUGUGUCAAUAUACUGUAGAACAGAAUAAUUUCCCCGUGUUAAAUUUUCGUGAAUUGCUGAUCAUAGGCCUAUUCGCGACAGGAUAAUUUCGCGAGACAAGGGCUGUUUUUUCUAGAUUUUUUUUAAUGGCAGUAAUAUCAGAAAGGUGCUGUUUUUAAUAAUCAAUAACACCUACUUCGGCACAUUGCAUUACACACACGGACAAUGGUUUCGCAAGCACUGGUGUCAAUAAAUUGAGGAGUUUGGCAUCCCUUGUUGAGUAAUUUUAAAACUGAAUAAACUGAAUAAAGGGUCAAAUUAGGCCCGCAAUCAGGUCACCAAGCUACCAGGCAAGCUGCUUGGGGGACCAAACAAUGGCUUCUGAUCACGGAAUAAAUUCUGAUUACGUCAAUCGCUGCUGAAUGAAAUCAGGUUAAAAACUUUGCCAAGAACAGAACAUUUUCGCGGCAUAAAAUUUUCGCGACUAAGAGUAGACCCUCCUGCACGAGAAAUUUUCCUGUUUUACAGUACAUAAUACAUGAUAUAAACCAGCUUGCCACAAUCUAUGGAGUUGAGAUGAGUGGGAUUACACCACAAUGCACGAAAUACUAGACGACUGCAAAUACAGUACGAAAGGAAAUAACUACAUUUUUGCAACAUCGAAAUUAUAUGAUCCUGCCGUGAAAACUGUGCGUGCACUUGGAGACAUUCACCUUGGUCAUAUCAAUUCGAUAUUCCAGCACAGUUUUAGGGAUACCACUGGUGUUUUCUGUUUGCUGGAAACAUGGUGACAUCAGAAUUCACUAUGGACUGUUUCUGUCCGCAAAGAUGGACCCCACGACUAAGUGCACUUUUCCAAUCUCUAGAGUCAGCAAGUUGCUUUACACAGCUGAGGAGGACGAUCGACUUUUCUUUUUGAAUUGCAACAUCUUACUUGCUGCCUGACUGAUUUGAUAUACUCAAAACUUGGACCACAAUAUUUUCUUGGAAAAAGCUAUUUCUCAGAUUUGCCCUGCAUGCAUAUCCUGUUUGUUAAGUCCAUGAGUUCGUGCGUUCUGGUGUAUUGUGGCAACAAUUGAAUGACCCACUCUCAUUAUAAAAUACGAUCGUUGAAUGACCUUACAAAUGGGUGUUUAGAGCAUUUGGUCACAUUUGAUUUGAUUUGAUUUGUCAUGAACUGGGGUCACAAUAUGAGGGAUCGGUUACAUAUUAUUUUUUUCAUGGCAUUUCAUUUAGCUAUUUUUUCCUUAAUACUGUAUUUACAUGUACAGAGGAGUAUCAUGAGGUGUCAAAUUAAUCCCUAGAAUGUCUUCUUUCCAAUGAUAUAAUCACAGCCUGAUUUGGUUGGAUAAUUUUUACUCAAGAGGGUGUUUGAACGUUCUAUUAUAGUACGUCCAUAGGAGAUGCCCUGAGAGAAGUAUUGCCUAAUUGACCAAUUCUCCAAGUUCAUUUUCAUGCAUGACUUUGUUUAAUUGGUGACUGUACAUGUAUGACCUUACAAAUGGAAUUACACUAAAAUAUCUGUUGUUUUCAUUGCGAUGCUGGUUUUCAAACAUUUUCAAUUCAGGAAUAUCUGUUCUAUCAUGAAAGUCUUUCCCACAAUGCAGUAGCUGAGGAAAUAGUGCAUUACACUAGAUACCCAACUGUAAGGUCACAUAUUUUCUUCAAUACUGUAAAGUAAUUAGUUGUGAUUAUAAAGUUGCUGGUGGAAAUGAAAUGAUCUGCUUACCAGUAUGUCUCUCCUACUCAAUUCCAAGUUCAUUAUCAUGCAUGUGCAUCUGUUGGACUAUGUUUUCAUUGCAAUGCAUGUUUUCAAAACAUCUCCUUAGGAACAUGCUUUCUGUGGUGUGCCGCAACUUCAUUCUGAUUUGAGACAGGUGCAAUGAUGGGUGUGGUGCAUGGAUGGGGCAAUGGGAGAUACUGUUGUUUACCUUUCAGUAGUUUUGUAUCAAUUUGCAUUUCUCUGGAAAUUGAGGCCUACUUGACAAUUUGUACUGCCAAUUUUAUCAGGAUAAAACGCUACUAUAGUGAACAUUUCAUGGUUUACAGUAUACAGUAUACCGGGAGAUGUAUUGUACCUAAAUGUUUUAAAUUUUAAAGAUUGUCUUUUGCUACUGUGUUUUAACAUUUUAGCUCCUAGAAAUAUUAUUAUGUCAUGCCUGUAGCUUCCUAGACGCCCGGAUCGGCCCGCUGAAAGUUGGGUCAUAACAAUGGAACAGCAUUAUAAACUGGUGUUGCGGAGGCCUCAUGCCGAAGCUAUCGCCACGCCAUCUGGUAUCAGGUAGCAGGACUGAAUCUUAGAGGAAUCCGCUUUGCGUAACACUUGGCUCUGUUGCAAUUUUGCAAAGGGGGCCAGGAAGUAAUCGUCAGGACGGUUCCGGGCGUCUAGGUGCUAAAGAGUUAUGUGCAAAUACGGAAUAAGUGUAAAAUAAUGGUAUUAAAGUUGUUUUAAGUGUAAAUAAUAAUUGAAAGUAUAUGGCAUACAUUACACUUCAAUUCUCAUACAGGAUGUAUCUUGAAUAAAAUCUUCAA